RNAcentral lists this ribosomal RNA (482 nucleotides) under uncultured bacterium. RNAcentral describes it as "partial 16S ribosomal RNA". It matches the Rfam family "Bacterial small subunit ribosomal RNA", at positions 30 to 507 of the family's 1533-position model. The record is from RNAcentral.
AUUGAACGCUGGCGGCGUGCCUUACACAUGCAAGUCGAACGGUAACAGGUCUUCGGAUGCUGACGAGUGGCGAACGGGUGAGUAAUACAUCGGAACGUGCCCGAUCGUGGGGGAUAACGAGGCGAAAGCUUUGCUAAUACCGCAUACGAUCUACGGAUGAAAGCGGGGGAUCUUCGGACCUCGCGCGGACGGAGCGGCCGAUGGCAGAUUAGGUAGUUGGUGGGAUAAAAGCUUACCAAGCCGACGAUCUGUAGCUGGUCUGAGAGGAUGAUCAGCCACACUGGGACUGAGACACGGCCCAGACUCCUACGGGAGGCAGCAGUGGGGAAUUUUGGACAAUGGGCGAAAGCCUGAUCCAGCCAUGCCGCGUGCAGGAUGAAGGCCUUCGGGUUGUAAACUGCUUUUGUACGGAACGAAAAGCCUCUUUCUAAUAAAGAGGGGUCAUGACGGUACCGUAAGAAUAAGCACCGGCUAACUACGUG